AUAACUGGGCAUAUCAGUUUAUGCUUAGAUAUAAAGAAACCAAAUAUAUAUUCUGUCUUAUUAUACGGAACCAAUUAUAUUUAAUCCAUGUUAAAAUGAUUAUGCAUUUAUCAUGUUGGAACUUCUUUGUCAAGCAGGUCUUCGCCAGCAUUGGGAAUUUGGGAUGGCAGUGCCACACAUUGAUGUAUGGAUACUUUCUGGUUGCUUUCCCCAUUGUACAUCAUUGUUCCCUUUUUAAGGAUCCAUUCACCUAGUUCCUGUUUUUAUGGCUUUUGUUCUGUUCGUUUACAGAUCAAGUCUGUCAUUGCCUUUACCAUGUUUCUUAAAGCCUUU
Molecule: long non-coding RNA, 333 nt
Filed under: Triticum aestivum (bread wheat)
Lineage: Eukaryota; Viridiplantae; Streptophyta; Magnoliopsida; Poales; Poaceae
Description: long non-coding RNA (TAES_LNC002290)
Source: RNAcentral